RNAcentral lists this long non-coding RNA (286 nucleotides) under Musa acuminata (dwarf banana). RNAcentral describes it as "long non-coding RNA (MACU_LNC009531)". The record is from RNAcentral. Lineage: Eukaryota; Viridiplantae; Streptophyta; Magnoliopsida; Zingiberales; Musaceae.
CCGAGGGCCGAGGAGCACAACUCAGGCGGGGUGACCGCGCAGGUGUGGUUUCGGGAGGCGUAGAGCCGAGGGCCGAGGAGCACAACGCAGGCGGGGUGACCGCGCAGGUGUGGUCUCGGGAUGGCGUAGAGCCGAGGGCCGAGGAGCACAACGCAGGCGGGGUGACCGCGCAGGUGUGGUCUCGGGAGGCGUAGAGCCGAGGAGCACAACGUAGGCGGGGUGACCGCGCAGGUGUAGUCUCGGGAUGGCGUAGAGCCGAGGGCCGAGGAGCACAACGCAGGCGGGG